GCGGCGGUCGUCUAGAGUAACAAUAUACGGAUAAUCUGGCGAGGACCCGAGCCUGCCACGCUCGCAACCCGGGUUCAAAUCCCGGCCGCCGCACCA
RNAcentral lists this transfer RNA (96 nucleotides) under archaeon. RNAcentral describes it as "tRNA-Gly". It matches the Rfam family "tRNA". From Rfam's summary of the family: Transfer RNA (tRNA) molecules are approximately 80 nucleotides in length. The record is from RNAcentral. RNAcentral also lists the same sequence under 3 other names.